Molecule: ribosomal RNA, 709 nt
Filed under: uncultured Bacillota bacterium
Lineage: Bacteria; Bacillati; Bacillota
Description: bacterial SSU rRNA
Rfam family: Bacterial small subunit ribosomal RNA
Source: RNAcentral
ACGCGAAAGUUCCCUUCGGGGAGCAAGUAGAGUGGCGCACGGGUGAGUAACACGUAGGUAAUCUACCUUUGGAUUGGGAAUAACACCGAGAAAUCGGUGCUAAUACCGAAUAAUGCAGCGGCACCUAAUGGUGACAGUUGUUAAAGCGGGGGAUCGCAAGACCUCGCGUCUAAAGAGGAGCCUGCGGCGGAUUAGCUAGUUGGUAAGGUAACGGCUUACCAAGGCGAUGAUCCGUAGCCGGCCUGAGAGGGCGGUCGGCCACACUGACACUGACAUACGGGUCAGACUCCUACGGGAGGCAGCAGUCGGGAAUUUUGGGCAAUGGGCGAAAGCCUGACCCAGCAACGCCGCGUGAAGGAUGAAAUCCCUCGGGAUGUAAACUUCGCAAGAACGGGAAGAAUAAGUCGGUGCUAACACCAUCGGCGAUGACGGUACUGUUUGUAAGCUCCGGCUAACUCCGUGCCAGCAGCCGCGGUAAUACGGGGGGAGCAAGCGUUGUUCGGAUUUACUGGGCGUAAAGGGCGCGUAGGCGGCCACCGCAAGUCGACUGUGAAAUCUCCGGGCUUAACUCGGAAAGGUCAGCCGAUACUGCGGGGCUAGAGUGCAGAAGGGGCAACUGGAAUUCUCGGUGUAGCGGUGAAAUGCGUAGAUAUCGAGAGGAACACCUGCGGCGAAGGCGGGUUGCUGGGCUGACACUGACGCUGAUGUG